Molecule: ribosomal RNA, 301 nt
Filed under: uncultured bacterium
Lineage: Bacteria
Description: partial 16S ribosomal RNA
Rfam family: Bacterial small subunit ribosomal RNA
Source: RNAcentral
CAGCCGCCGCGGUAAUACGUAGGUGGCAAGCGUUGUCCGGAAUUAUUGGGCGUAAAGGGCUCGCAGGCGGUUUCUUAAGUCUGAUGUGAAAGCCCCCGGCUCAACCGGGGAGGGUCAUUGGAUACUGGGAAACUUGAGUGCAGAAGAGGAGAGUGGAAUUCCACGUGUAGCGGUGAAAUGCGUAGAGAUGUGGAGGAACACCAGUGGCGAAGGCGACUCUCUGGUCUGUAACUGACGCUGAGGAGCGAAAGCGUGGGGAGCGAACAGGAUUAGAUACCCCUGUAGUCCCUGUCUCUUAUAC